This 219-nucleotide ribosomal RNA is filed under the name Bannozyma yamatoana. Its description in RNAcentral is "large subunit ribosomal RNA". It matches the Rfam family "Bacterial large subunit ribosomal RNA", at positions 842 to 1031 of the family's 2925-position model. Lineage: Eukaryota; Fungi; Basidiomycota; Microbotryomycetes; Chrysozymaceae. The record is from RNAcentral.
GUGAUAGCUGGUUCUCCGCGAAAUGCAUUGUAGUGCAGCGUCAACGAAUAGCGUAUAGUAGGUACAGCACUGAUUGACAUGUUCAACGUAAGUUGGAUUGAGUAGGGGGAUGUGAAAGUCCUAUCUAGGUCAGUUAACCUCGGAAUGAUUAUACGUACGUAGUUGGCAGUGAGUCGUAAGGUGAUAAGGUCUCGCGACGAGAGAGGGAAACAGCCCAAA